GAUGAAGAACGUAGCAAAAUGCGAUACUUGGUGUGAAUUGCAGAAUCCCGUGAACCAUCGAGUUUUUGAACGCAAGUUGCGCCCGAAGCCUUUUGGCCGAGGGCACGUCUGCCUGGGCGUCACGCAUCGCGUCGCCCCCCACAAUUCUCCGUAAAGGGAACGUGUGUUUUGGGGGCGGAUAUUGGUCUCCCGUGCUCAUGGCGUGGUUGGCCGAAAUAGGAGUCCUUUCGAUGGACGCACGAACUAGUGGUGGUCGUAAAAACCCUCGUCUUUUGUUUCGUGCUGUUGCUCGCAAGGUAAACUCUUUAACAACCCCAAUGUGUCGUCUCUUGACGACGCUUCGACCGCGACCCCAGGUCAGGCGGGACUACCCGCUGAGUUUAAGCAUAUCAAUAAGCGGAGGA
This 404-nucleotide unclassified non-coding RNA is filed under the name soil metagenome. RNAcentral describes it as "partial contains 5.8S ribosomal RNA, internal transcribed spacer 2, and large subunit ribosomal RNA". The stretch from base 1 to 122 matches the Rfam family "5.8S ribosomal RNA", at positions 35 to 154 of the family's 154-position model. The record is from RNAcentral.